GACGAACGCUGGCGGCGUGCUUAACACAUGCAAGUCGAACGGAAAGGCCCUGCUUUUGUGGGGUGCUCGAGUGGCGAACGGGUGAGUAACACGUGAGUAACCUGCCCUUGACUUUGGGAUAACUUCAGGAAACUGGGGCUAAUACCGGAUAGGAGCUCCUGCUGCAUGGUGGGGGUUGGAACGUUUCGGCGGUUGGGGAUGGACUCGCGGCUUAUCAGCUUGUUGGUGGGGUAGUGGCUUACCCAGGCUUUGACGGGUAGCCGGCCUGAGAGGGUGACCGGCCACAUUGGGACUGAGAUACGGCCCAGACUGCUACGGGAGGCAGCAGUGGGGAAUAUUGCACAAUGGGCGGAAGCCUGAUGCAGCAACGCCGCGUGCGGGAUGACGGCCUUCGGGUUGUAAACCGCUUUCGCCUGUGACGAAGCGUGAGUGACGGUAAUGGGUAAAGAAGCACCGGCUAACUACGUG
Molecule: ribosomal RNA, 468 nt
Filed under: uncultured bacterium
Lineage: Bacteria
Description: partial 16S ribosomal RNA
Rfam family: Bacterial small subunit ribosomal RNA
Source: RNAcentral